GAUGCUGUAGCUCAGUGGGUAGAGUGUUUGCUUAGCAUGCAUGAAGCCUGGGGUUCAAUCCCAGCACCACA
Molecule: transfer RNA, 71 nt
Filed under: Cricetulus griseus (Chinese hamster)
Lineage: Eukaryota; Metazoa; Chordata; Mammalia; Rodentia; Cricetidae
Rfam family: tRNA
About the family: Transfer RNA (tRNA) molecules are approximately 80 nucleotides in length.
Source: Rfam by way of RNAcentral